RNAcentral lists this ribosomal RNA (227 nucleotides) under uncultured bacterium. RNAcentral describes it as "partial 16S ribosomal RNA". It matches the Rfam family "Bacterial small subunit ribosomal RNA", at positions 114 to 334 of the family's 1533-position model. The record is from RNAcentral.
CACGUAAAGAACCUGCCUCAUAGACGGGGACAACUAUUGGAAACGAUAGCUAAUACCGGAUAACAGCAUAAAUCGCAUGAUAUAUGUUUAAAAGUUGGUUUCGGCUAACACUAUGAGAUGGCUUUGCGGUGCAUUAGCUAGUUGGUAGGGUAAAGGCCUACCAAGGCGACGAUGCAUAGCCGACCUGAGAGGGUGAUCGGCCACACUGGGACUGAGACACGGCCCAG